AUGAUAUUUAAUAUUUAUAUUUUUUGUAUGUGUGUACACUUCAGAAUGACAAAGCCAAAAUUCAGGCCUUGCCCAAGCUGCCAAGUCCGUCAGCAGGCCAACCGCAAAACAUGCAGUGCUUGUUUUGCCACACUGCCAAGCAAGCGGUUAUUAAAAACUGCAAAAAUUAAUGAUGACUGGGGCCAGAGGGUCGUCAAAAACAAAAAUGCAUCUCGGGUGGUGGCCUCUGCCCAAAUAGCUGUCCAAAAACUUUCUGCCUUGGGCUAUAUGCCCAUAUUAUUUAUCAGCCAGAGGCACAAGGGCACAGGCAAGUUGAUGGCAGAUGUAGUCACGCAUCUGCCACCGACGCAAAACAACACACGUUUCUUAACCAGCAUGAAGAGGGCAUAUGACUUCAUAAUCAAACUGGAUGGUAAGAUAAGUUUUAUGUAUAGUUCAUUAGUGGUUGUCGUUGAUUUCUUUGACAAUGUGUACUGAAUUUAUAUUUUUGCUAACUUCACAACAGAUGUGCCCCAGCCCCAGCCCCAGCAAGACCAGCCCCUCCACCUAGACCAACCCCCUACCCCAAGACCAGCCCCUGCCCCUAGACCAGCUAAUCCCACAAAACCAGCCCGUAGACCAGCCCCAGCAAGACCAGCCCCUGCCCCUAGACCAGCUAAUCCCACAAGACCAGCCCCAGCAAGACCAGCCCCUGCCCCUAGACCAGCUAAUCCCACAAGACCAGCCUACCCCAACAGACCAGCAAAUUAUUAAACUUGAACUAUUUACGAUCGACUCACAGGCUCAGCAGCAUGUGGAGCCUCUACCACCCAGGAAAAGACAAAGUAAGUAAUCUUGCAUUGCACCACAUCUGUAAAUUUGUCCUAUGUUUUUUUGCAAUCAGUGCACAAUAUAAAACAAGUUACACAUGGUGAAUUUCACCUCUUUUAAUUAAUUAAGCCACUCCUCCAAGAUACUGAAUAUACAAUUCUCAACCUUUUUCCCUUGCAUCUUAAGCCCCACUAUCCACCCCGGGCCUACCAUCCACCCCAGGCCAAGGCAAACGAGCCCCACCAUCCAUCCAACCUCAACUAAAGAAAAGACAAAGUAAGUAAUCUUGCCUUGCACCCCAUCUGUAAAUUGGUCCCAUGGUUUUGUAAUCAUUGUAUUAAUAUAAAAUAAGUUAACCAAUGUGAAUUUCACCCCCUUCUAUUAAUUAAGCCACUUCCCCAAGAUACUGAAUAUAUAAUUCUUAAUCUUUUCCCCUUGCACCCUAAGCCACAGGUAAAGGAGCCACACAAGCCCCACCCUCUACCCUGGCCAAAAAGAAGAAAACAAAAAGCAAGUAGACAUUCUUUGCACCCCAUGUGUAUAUUUGUUUCUAUUCUUUGCACCCCAUGUGUAUAUCAGCAGCCAUGUGUUGGGUGUAAAUGUGUUUUUGCAUGUAGCCCCCUUUAAUUGGACCAAACUCAGGGUGUAUUCACACUUGGUCUUUUUCAGCCCUCAAAGUGAACUAAGAACAGUGACUCAUAUAUGAACACCUCAAGCAAACUCAGACCCAUUUGAAAUGAACCAAACGUUUUUUUGCCUUUGUCAUUUAAGGUUGCAAAUGCAGUCGACAGACAAUUUAUCCAUACGAUAAAAUAUUGGAAAGACGGAUGAAUGGGGUAAGAUGUAGAACCAUAUUUUUCAUUAGGCUGUCUGAUUAUCUCUUGACUCAUGUCUGUCUCAUCUUUCAAUCCACAUGUGACAAAACAGUAACACUGAGCAGUAGGUAUCAAACUUUUUCAACUAUCAACCCUCUCACAAGUGCUACCCCUUAGGAAAAAAAAGUAUACUUCAAGUUAUUUUAUGAAGUAUACUUAAGUAAUGUUCAAGUAUAUUUUUAAGUAUACUUUAUGGAGUAAGUAUACUAGUAUCAAUGUGUACUAUUUCAAUACUGCUUGGGGCUAAAUUGGCCCACUUUUAGUAUAAAAGUAUAUGUUUAAGUGUACUAAAAGUGUAAACUUUAAGUACACAACUAGGUUUCUCAUUUUUAAUGCAUCUUUACUACAAGUGAACUUAUAAGUAUACUAUUUAUAUAUUAUUUUGCACUUGCUGUAUACUACUAUGUUCAAAUGUAGAUAUUAUUUUUUAUACUUGAAAAAUACAUUUAACUGUACUUUAAUUUUAAUAACAUUUUAUUAGCUUCAUGCUUUCUUUUUUAUCAACACUUGUCGGUAAGUUUCAUAAAGGCAACAUUUUAAACAAAGAAGUUGAGAAAAUCACAUUUUUGUCAAAGACUGCGCCUUGAUCAGAUUCAGAACGGUGAUCAAAACACAGAUGGAGUAGAUCAAGUCCAACAACCCCAAAGCUUCACAGUCGUUUU
This is a long non-coding RNA of Cyprinus carpio carpio, 2347 nucleotides long. The record is from Ensembl. Lineage: Eukaryota; Metazoa; Chordata; Actinopteri; Cypriniformes; Cyprinidae.